RNAcentral lists this ribosomal RNA (318 nucleotides) under uncultured bacterium. RNAcentral's name for it is "bacterial SSU rRNA". It matches the Rfam family "Bacterial small subunit ribosomal RNA", at positions 28 to 334 of the family's 1533-position model. The record is from RNAcentral.
GACGAACGCUGGCGGCAUGCCUAAUACAUGCAAGUCGAACGCUGAAGCACUCUGCUUGCAGAGUGCGGAUGAGUGGCGAACGGGUGAGUAACACGUGGGAAAUCUACCUAAAAGUGGGGGAUAACAUUCGGAAACGGAUGCUAAUACCGCAUAUCUUCAAGAACCGCAUGGUUCCUGAACGAAAGACGGCUUCGGCUGUCGCUCUUAGAUGAUCCCGCGGCGUAUUAGUUAGUUGGUGGGGUAAAGGCCUACCAAGACGAUGAUACGUAGCCGACCUGAGAGGGUGAUCGGCCACAUUGGGACUGAGACACGGCCCAA